RNAcentral lists this long non-coding RNA (262 nucleotides) under Mytilus galloprovincialis (Mediterranean mussel). The record is from RNAcentral. Lineage: Eukaryota; Metazoa; Mollusca; Bivalvia; Mytilida; Mytilidae.
UGCUGCUCAGAUCUUAUAUUAAAUGUACACUAACUUUUUAAAGAAGUUUACAAAUGUUUAAGCAACGAUACAAGUACUAAACUUGGGAGUUGAAAUAAAUAUCUUUAUCAAUGAAUUCAACAUACCAAUAUCUAUUUAAUUUAAUAUACAACUCGUCUAAACAUCAACCCAACAAUGCUUUUUCAAAUUUUUUGUUCAUCUCUCGCCGGGAUUCGAACCCAUGCUACUGAGAUAUCGUGAAACCGAAUCGCCUGCACUGUAU